This 102-nucleotide microRNA precursor is filed under the name Pelobates cultripes (western spadefoot toad). Lineage: Eukaryota; Metazoa; Chordata; Amphibia; Anura; Pelobatidae. The record is from RNAcentral.
CGGCACUGCAGAUGUUUUGGACUACACCUCCCUUGAUGCUUUGCCAUCAUUAUGUGUGUUAGAGCAUUAUGGGGGAUGUAGUCCACAACAUCUGGAGUGCCG